RNAcentral lists this ribosomal RNA (476 nucleotides) under uncultured bacterium. RNAcentral's name for it is "bacterial SSU rRNA". It matches the Rfam family "Bacterial small subunit ribosomal RNA", at positions 28 to 526 of the family's 1533-position model. The record is from RNAcentral.
GACGAACGCUGGCGGCGUGCUUAACACAUGCAAGUCGAACGCUGAAGCCCUUCGGGGUGGAUGAGUGGCGAACGGGUGAGUAACACGUGAGCAACCUGCCCUUGGCUUGGGGAUAACCUUCGGAAACGGGGGCUAAUACCCGAUGUGACGCAUGCUCGCAUGGGUGUGUGUGGAAAGUUUUUCGGCCAGGGAUGGGCUCGCGGCCUAUCAGCUUGUUGGUGGGGUGAUGGCUCACCAAGGCGACGACGGGUAGCCGGCCUGAGAGGGCGAUCGGCCACACUGGGACUGAGACACGGCCCAGACUCCUACGGGAGGCAGCAGUGGGGAAUAUUGCGCAAUGGGCGAAAGCCUGACGCAGCGACGCCGCGUGAGGGAUGACGGCCUUCGGGUUGUAAACCUCUUUCAGCUCCGACGAAUUCAGACGGUAGGAGCAGAAGAAGCACCGGCUAACUACGUGCCAGCCGCCGCCGUAACAC